AUUUUCAUCUAACAUUUGUCUGCAUGUUUCUCCAUCUUUUGUUAUUUUUCAGUGGGCAGCUCGGUUUGCCGAGAGAGAACUCUAUAACUUUAAGAAAGAAAAUGUAUAUAAAAGCAAAAAGAACCUGCUGAUCGAGGAACACUGCCACAUAGAGGAAAAAACCAUCUCAAUUGUUGAUGCAAAUUUCAAAUCUACAAGAGGAGUUGACUUAUAUUGUAAAAAAGCCAAAUAUACUGAAGAAAGAGUGCAAAGAACCACUGUUUAUUACCA
Molecule: long non-coding RNA, 270 nt
Organism: Ochotona curzoniae (black-lipped pika)
Lineage: Eukaryota; Metazoa; Chordata; Mammalia; Lagomorpha; Ochotonidae
Exons: 3
Source: RefSeq, a predicted model, not a curated record